CACCAUAGAGUUCAUGACCUAAUCAAAAUGUUGUAAAAGAUAACAAUAACUUCAUUUACUUAGGAAACCAAAUAGAAUACAUCCUUUCACUAGAUGCAAAUAGUUGCAUUUGACAGAAAGCUAAAGUUACAGGUAUGCUACAAAGCUAUGCUCGGGGGACGGGUCGUAUUACAGACCGACCUGCCUGAAAUUGCAACAUGCUCCUAAGUCCUAUCCCGGAGCUAAGUUUAUUCGUCUGAUUAUUAUAAAUAUUUAAGACAAGUUCUUAUAGGGUUUCAGCCGUUGAACCAGUGAGCCGCUUAGGUGGAGGGACAUGACUUCAUUGGUUGAUCCCACCAGUUCUCCGCCGAUAAACACCGCUGGGACGGGGCCAUUGCAACCCAUCCUUAGUAGUGCCUUCUCAAUUUCCUUUCCCUCUGGAUCAUGAUCGAUUUCAUGAACAUAAGGAUCUAUUCCAAUUUCUCGAAACAACAUGUGUACAGUAUAGCAUAAGCAACAUGUGCUUUUGCUGAAGAUAAUUACUCCCUUUUCUGAUGCCAAUUUUUUUACCCUCUCCAUCUGAGAUGACUCGUCCCGUUCUCUUCAGAUAUAUCAGAUCGAAUAUAACAAGAUUAUUUUUAAAAAAAAAU
Molecule: long non-coding RNA, 629 nt
Filed under: Olea europaea subsp. europaea
Lineage: Eukaryota; Viridiplantae; Streptophyta; Magnoliopsida; Lamiales; Oleaceae
Source: RNAcentral